Oryzias latipes (Japanese medaka) is the source of this 7970-nucleotide non-coding RNA. The record is from RefSeq and is a predicted model, not a curated record. Lineage: Eukaryota; Metazoa; Chordata; Actinopteri; Beloniformes; Adrianichthyidae.
AUUAAUCAAAAUUAAAAAGUAGGAUCUCUAAGGUUUUUUUAGGAACAGCAAAACUUUUAUACUAACCUAUUUUAACUGAUUUUAUUGUCUUUUAACCUGCAUGCAUUUGAUAUAUAUUUUUUAUGUUUUAAUAAGGCGUGGCACUUAAUUUUAGCACUUAUUUUAAUGUACUAACAAUUUUCUAUGGAUGUUUUCCAUGUUUUUAGCACUUAUUUAACUUUGCUGCUUCUAAUUUACCCACAAGAUUAAGUUUUACCAGAUCCUUAACAACUUGGAUUAAUUGAUUUUUAAUCUUUUUUUUUACUAUAAAUAUUGAUCUAGUUGGUCAUUUUUAGACUUUUUUAUUAUUAUUUUCUUUUUAUUUUUUUAUUUUUUUUGUUUUUUUUCUGUCUCCCGUCCCUUUCUUAUCCCCCUCAGCAGCCAAAAGUCAUUGUAAGGCUUGGUAGCCUAAUGGUAAGGACAACUACCCUUCAUGCAGACAUCCAGGGUUCGAAUCCAGACCGGGCAGACUGACAGUUGGAGUUUGAAUUCUCUUUUAUUCAUUUUACUGCUUAUUUUUUAUUUUCUAGCUUUUUCCUCCCCCUUCUUCAGUACAGCAGGCCAGUGCAAACAAAAUACAAACGUAUUUUUGCAAACCCCAACCCUAACCCAACCCUAACCCUAACCCUAACCCUAACCCUUUUGAUCCUAACCCUAACCAAAUUUAAAUUGAGAGCCCUAACCCUAAUUAGAUUAUGAAAAAAAUAAAAUAAUUUAUCCUUCAUUACCCAGAGGGAGGAGCGAGAUCUGAGUGGGGACAGAAAUGGUCCGUGCACGAGGGCUCCAGGCAUACAGCCUGGAACCCUAACCCUAUCACCUAACCAGCCUGAACCUUCUGAUUCUCCACAGGGUCUCUGUCUCUUCCUUCCCCACCUCCCAAAAAUCUCUUUCUGUCAUCUCCAAAGAUGAUAUUUGUCAUGGUUUGUUGGUUUAUGACUGCAAUUCAAAACUAACUCCUAUCAUUUUUUUUCUCCUAGAGGGAUUAUACUCACCUCCACCAUUGAAGCCUUAAUUCGAUUCUUGAAAAAGCAAUAGAUACACAAUUUUUAUUAUCAUUUUUUUGGGUUAUUACAAUUACAUCAGAAAUGUUAUGAAAUAAAUGCAUACUUUUACCUUUUUACAGAAUGUUUGUAUUUAGUUUUUUAUGGAAAGCAUAUACUGUUUUGAAUAUUGUCAAUUGAUCCCAAUACUUUUAAGAUGGUAAAAUUUAAUUUUCAUAAAAAAAUGUUUUACUUUUAUGGGAAAACAAAAAAUUACAAAUGCAUGUGAACACAACGCUCCGAGGCUCCAAGCUCCUUCGACCAGUGAAGGGCACCUUCUACCCAGCAACGCCUCCUGAUUGGAGGAGCAGCCCAAAUGCAUGAUGGGAAAUGUGACAUCAUCCCAUGAACUCUUCCCUCCAUUUUGAUGAGAAGACGCAUGCACGGAGCUGAUCCUCGUCAGUAUGAUCGCUUCUCAUGUUUAUUCUUAAGCCAGCCUGAAGAAGACUAAGCUUGUUCGAAACGUUGCAACCUUGGCUUGUAUUAUUUUUUUAUUAAACCGAAGUUGAUCUGUAAAAUCACGUUUCCUAGUUUAUUAUUAGCAUAGCCUCCCAGUAUUAGCAUAGCUUGUUAGCCACGUGUGACGGAGGUACCUUCUGCAACGGGCCGAAUUACACAAGGACCACAGUAAGCCAUGCCACCGCGCCCACACGACGACGGAUGGAUACUGGUGCAGUCCAGAGGAGGCAGACGGAGGGAACGGGCCUAUGAACGCGACAGGCCACAGAACAGACGUGCAGCUGCGGAUUUUUCCAGCUACCCACGCCGAGACGGACGCCGAUCUUAUGCGGACGUCACCAGGGAGGGAGCCCAUUUUCUGGAGCCGGCCUUCUACGGCAGACAGCAGGUGAGACAUCGCCCUGCACCGCAGCCGUUCUAUAGCGGGCCGCGCUACCCAUUUCAAAAUGGCGCUCAACGUGCGCCAAGACCUAGACCACGCGGUCCCUCCAACCAAAAUGGCCGCUACGUCUUUGUACCAGCAGGUGAUCGGAAUGAAGCCCCCCCCCACAGGGUACAGUCUAAUGACCCUGAUUUUACAGAGAAGGUGCGUGUAAUGAACAGACUGAUUAAAGCUGUACACCACCUCACCAAUGUGUCCAGAGAGGCUCAUCCUCCCUCCCUGGACAAAAUAACAAACAAUCUAGCUACAAUUAUCAAACCAGCAUCCCCAAAUCUACAAACACAGACUUUGAUUGACGGCAAUGCUAGAAAUUGGGCCUUCACUACCGUUCUCAUCCUCAGAGAGCAUUAUCAAAAGAACAUUGACUCUGAAAUGCAAAAGCUCACCCAGUUCCCUUCACCGGACUGGAGAGGCCCCUUUGAAAUAGCCACAACGUGGGCGAAACGUAAUUUAGGCAGACGCCUGAGACAGGAUACAAUAGACCGUGCCCAGGCGGUCAUCAUUGCCAGGACGACAGAAACAGCACCUCCUGCUCCUCUUCCUGCUGCUGCCGUUUCUUCUCUCCCAACGCAGACAGCUGACCAGACAGCAGAAGAGGACCCACAUGCUGUGAUUGAGCUGGCUCCAUCAUCACCUCCAGUGAACCAGCCUCCCUCCACGAGACCACAGAGCCCAGCUGCAGCACGGCCACCCCCUUCACCACAAAGCAGCAGUCAGCAGAUCACCACCAUCGCCCAAAUCCACGCAGCGCCUCCACCUGCGCCAAUCUCCCGGGUUUCAGUGGAGACCAUGACAGAACCACAACAGGAGGACUGGUCACCUCUGUUUGACCUUGAGGAGGCAAGUGAAACAGAACUUUCUCCUCCCACAUCCCCGUCUCGUCUUUCUCCUGUAAUCCCUCUUCCACCACGCAUAAAUCGCUCUCAAAUAAGCUCUACGGCAGAAAGUGUCGUACGAGUUCUCGACAUGCAGAAGGCUGACUCUGAAGCCGAAGAGGAAAUCACUCUGGAGCCAGAACCAGCAGAUGAGCAGAUCACAGCGCUGAGCCAGAGAAAAGGAAGCCAACGCUCCUCCCACAGAGAAGGGAGUCCUCCUCCUCCCGUCCAAACCAGCACCAUGGAGAGCAGAGGGUACCACACACUCACCCCUGCCACUCUCUCCAAGCUGAGAUCCAGCGUGCAGUCCAGACUAGCCGUUGAGCGAGCAGAGCAGACGACAACUUCUGCAGCAGAAAUGCAGGUGUGUGCUCCAACACGACACGACAACACACCCCGCAAAUUUACAGAGUGGCACCUGCACAUACAACAGAAGAAGGUCAUCAUAGGAGACUCAAACAUCAGCCGCCUCCCACCUUUCAAAGGUGGAAAUGUACAAUUGGACAGUUUUCCUGGCGCCAGAUGGCAUCAUGCAGAAUUUCUCCUGAAGACGGCCACCUUCCAGACGGAACCAGAGGUUCUCCUGCUAUCCUUCGGCCUCAACAACAGAUCCCAGAGGGAUAAAAAAGCUCCAGUGAAAGAGAUGAUCAAAGCCCUGACUGUAGCAGGACAGAGAUUCCCAGACGCCACAAUCUUCGUCCCUCACGUCAGUUUUUCACCUCACCUUUCACCAGAUGAAAAAGCCGUCCUGAUUCAUCUGAAUCAACACAUCCAAGAACUGACAGACUACAUCCCCCCACUCAGUGGCUUCUUUGAGACCCAAACUGACAGCAUCCACUGGACGGCAGCUACCGCGAAGAGGAUGCUGGAACACUGGGCUUCAUGGUUAAACUGAAGCUCCCUUUAAGCCUCUCACAGAGGGAGGGGAAAGAUGGAGUCAUGAAUCUAUGUGAUAACUUUGUUCUUUCUCUUACACAGCUUUCCCUGCUGAGCAGAGGUCUUACUUUCAUCCCUUCCAAAUGUAACAGUAAGAAUUUGACCUUUCAAUCGAGACAUGAUUUACAGGAGUACCAUCGCAGAAUUAAGUUAACUGUUCACUAUAAGGACAAAAGCAGCAUCCAACCUCAGCCAUUCACACUGAAAUCUGACUGGACACCCCCAUCUGCUACUCUCCCACCACAAAUUAACCGUUUAAUAGACCAGGAUAUUUCAUACUUUGAGAAUGAUUUUAAAAUCAUUCAUAACACUCCAAAUUUGAGUGGUGAGGAAACCAAAGCUCUAAAAGAAUUAGCCCAAAAUAAUGAUAUAGUUAUUAAACCAGCCGAUAAGGGCAGUCUAACAGUAAUUAUGGAUAAAAAAGAUUAUUUAUAUGAAGGUUACAGACAGUUAAAUGAUGUAACUUAUUAUCAUAAACUCAAUAAACCCAUUUAUUUAGAUACAAUCCCUCUAGUAGAUACAAUUAUUAAUAAUUUACUGAAAAAGAAAUUUAUAAAUAAAAAACAAAAAACUUACCUGCAGGGCAACUCGCAACCGAGGCCCAGACGUUUUUAUAUGUUACCCAAAAUCCAUAAAGAUCCCCAAAAAUGGACCGUUCCAUCUAAAAUUCCUCCUGGCAGACCCAUUGUUUCAGACUGUGAAAGUGAAACCUAUUAUACAGCAGAAUAUUUGGAUUUUUUUCUGAAUCCGUUAUCUAAUAAACAUGACAGUUACCUUAAAGAUACAUAUCAUUUUAUUGAAAAAAUUAAACAACUAGUAAUCCCAGCAGACUCCUUUCUGUUUACUACACAGCAAAAACUGGAGAGUUGAAAUUUCGGGGUUAAACAAACCAGAGUUGAUUUUCACUCUUGAAGUGUUAUUUUAACACAUUGUGAUUCAAAUGGUGUUCAGUGUUGGGGUUAUUUAUCAGUGUUACCCAAAUCAAGCUAAUUUAACACUACAGAGAGUUAAUGCCCCUGGGCUUCUGCCUCAGAAACCCUGUGCAAGAAAGUACAACGGACUGACACUCUUGAAGUGUUAUUUUAACUCACUGUGAUUCAAAUAAUGUUCAGUGUUGGAGUUAUUUUAGCCAAAUCAAGCUCAUUGAACACUGUAGAGAGUCAAAGCCCCUGGGCUCCCGCCUCGGAAACCCUGUGGAAGAAAGUGCAUCGUGCUGGUAAUUUUCCAUGAGCUGCAGAAGGUUUCAUCAGUGCUGGAAAAAGUUCUUCACAAGUGGUAAGUAACUGUAAUUUAUGGGGAAGAUAAUAUUAAAUGAAAGUUAGUGUAUACAUGAUGUAUCUAGGGAAAACUGUAUAACUUUUCUACGCUUUUUUGUUGCUGUUAAGCUGCUUUCACACCGGCAGCGGGACGUGGCGUUCAUGUUUAUGUAAGCGUUACAGGCAGAACAGAAGGUGUAAAUGCAGCUUUACCCGAACAGCUAAUGCUUCAUUUACACAGACGUUGAGUUUCAAUAUCAACUCAAUGUAGAGGAUAUGCGACGCAAUUUGAGCGCAGCACGUUUUCAGCUAAGUUAAAAAAAAGAGAGACGUUGGCGAGGUUUUAAGCAAUCUGGGACUCAACGUGUUCAGUGACUCCAUGAGCAGGUGAAGUACAAAUACAAAAUGGCGACUCGAUGUCACUAUUUUAAUCCCGAACGUCCAUCCAUCCAUCUUAACCUGCUUUAUAUCCCUUUCGGGGCCGCUGGGUUACUGGAGCACGUCCGGAUACUGUUGGGCGAAGGUGGGAAAACCCUAGACAGGUCACCAGCUUGUUCCAGGGCCCAUGAUGGGGAUGGAGUGCUCCACGUCCGCCCCCGCCUCGGUAGGCUGGUUGGCGGCAGACAGAGAGCCGCCGCGGCUUUAUAUUUUCUUAUUUCCACUGCGAAAAUAUCAAAAAAGAUCCUCUAGUUUUAUUAUUAUUUUUACCUUUUUGAAAUAAUCUAAUAAAUAAGUAUGCCUUUCCUGCUUGUAAUAGCUGGAUGUCACGUUAUCUAGAUGAUUAAAUUAAAUAGGGGAAUAUAUUUAUAUUUUAACCUUUAGAUGUGUUGCGAAAUGCAUUUUAAAAGCAAAAUGUAUAAAAAAAAUUUGUAUGUUUGUUUUAUUUCGAGCCAUGGAGAAUGAUUUAACGCUAGCAUUUACGAAUAAGUCAAUCUUUGUGUCCUUUAGAAAGAUAUGGGCUGUCACUUUUUGUGGGGGAGGGGGUGUUACUUAAGUAUAAUUUAAUUUUAUAAAGCAACCUUGCUUUAAUCAAUCUCUACACCACAUUGUAAAUGUAACUAAAUUUUAUAAUCUAACUCUUGUAGGUCUAUUGGUGUUGCUCUUCAGCUUCAGAGGUUUUCAGAUGGUAAACCUAAAGUGAUUUAGUAAAUUGCUGGUUCAGGUUCGCUACCACCAACAGCAGAAAUAUGUAAAGGUGGAUGAAGUUGGAGAGUUUGAUUUCAUGCAACUGCAUGAAAAAGAGUUUACCGAUUGCUCCUUGUCCUCUCCAUCUGAAUGGUCUGACUCAAGCUUCAAGUUCAAGUGCAAGUGCAUCAACUAUACUUCUAGAUGAGAUCCCAAGGAAAAAAUCAAGAGUUAAAGGAACAAUCAAUGCAGUUUCUGCAAAAAAGUUGAUCGAAGCUGUACUUGGAACCAGUUCAGGUGGUGAGGAGGUCCUUGAAGAAUAUCACACAUCACAGACUCUUAAAGAUUCUACCAGAAGAAAGCUUGUCAAUACAAUAGUGGCCCACAUGAUUGAUAAACACAGACAUCUCCCCACCAAAGCUGUUAGAGAAGAAUAUGCUCUUGGGAUAGUGACACUUUUUCCAUCCCUGAAAGACCCAUACUCCAAGAAAGGCUAUGAACACUUCUAUGAUGCUGCAAGCAGUACAGGAUACAUUUCUUGGCGUCUUAAGACCAUCCAGAGAAAGAUUCGACGAGAAUGUACCACUUCAAAUAGCCUCACUGGCCUUUCUCAAGGACAAGGGGGCCCUAAAUUCCAGAGAUCUGUUGUAGUUGAAGAGCAGCAGCUGGAUGGAGAUGCUUGUCAGGAGGCAAUGUCUUUGCUCAACCAUGCCACAGACACUACACUAAUUUUUCGAAAGAUGAGAGAGACGUUUCAGCAUCGGCAAAAACUCGUCAAUGACUCAGACAAAGCGCUUGACAUCCUGUCAUGCUUCCCAAGAUUCCUGGAUACCAAAGGAUUGGCGAAUCAAGACUUCAUUCUCUUGUUUAAUGACGAGGUAUCCAACCGGCUGCUUCAGAAAUGGGACCCGAUCUUUAGAUGCAACAUUAUCAAAGAGGCCAAGCAGCUCACUUCAACUCCAGAGCUUCGUCAGCUGUUGCAUUCAGCAGAGAGUCCACAAGGCAGUGAUGAGACAAUGACUCAUGACGCAGAGAUGGCCUCGCUUUUGUUGCUGUUAUACCUUCCACCACCACCUGGGGGGCCAAAGUAUCCAAAAAUCAGCGCCUCUGAUGCAGUUGAAAAAGUUGACUUUCUCAAGUCUUACUGCAGUUUGGAGGAGCAUCUUCAGAAUCAGCACCACCAUCAGCUGUACCUCCUUGCCGUUGGUCGUGAAAAGAGGAACAUCGACAGAUUCUACAUCUCCAUUGACAACCAUCUCAUCCCAUGCCAGGCAAACCGCUCCCUUGGGGCAUUUGAUGAACUUUUUAAAGCUCAUUUUGUUUUCAGUGUGUCUUAUGAUGGUGCACUUCUGAAUUUCUACACCUUUUUGCAGACAACAGUUUAUAAUAUUGAUAUGGGUAAAAUGAAGGUGUCACCAAAAGUUUCGAGACAUGAGCCAAACUCCUUAUCCAGGAGGUGCUUCUCACAACCCAGAUUUAAAGUCAAGGCAAUUAAAGGCAUUUUGAUCAAAAUGCUCAUGUUUUUUGUGCAAGAUUGUUUUUCCCAGCAGUUGAUUUCACAUAUGAGUUGAACAUGGUUAUUAUCCUGGACCAAAGUUCAAGUUGUUUUGUUGUCAGCCAAGUUAUAGGCUUCAGCUUCAAACUUAUGCAGGCUUUAGAAAGCACCUCAUCACUGCUUAUAGAGGCAUUGAACAAAUUGUUUUUUCCCACUCCCAUCCAAGUCUUUUUGUUAUUCUGUCAUGUAAUAUGUUUUAUUUAACUGCAUGAGAGUGAAAUAUUAAAUAUUUUUUAAAUUACA